CUGGCUGGGGCGUUUAGUUGUUAAUUAAAAUUUUACGGGAUCGAAGCCCGUCAGUCUGU
RNAcentral lists this transfer RNA (59 nucleotides) under Cyrtodactylus sp. PKN-2019. Its description in RNAcentral is "tRNA-Asn". Lineage: Eukaryota; Metazoa; Chordata; Lepidosauria; Squamata; Gekkonidae. The record is from RNAcentral.